UCCUCACAUCUUAAAAACUACGAAUACUUUAAACGCAUUAUUUUGAUUUGAUUGAUCAAAGAAAUACCACAUUCAAAGUUUUGUGGUACUUUUUAACAAAAUUCUUAAUAAGAGAAGAAAGAAACAUACUACUCCAGAGAAAUGGGGAAUAAUAAUUAACAUGAAAAAUCAGGGUCUGAAUAUUUGUUGACGUUACUAAUAACAUAUGAUACUCUCUGAAAAUUGUUGUUAUUAAUAAACAUGAAAACACACUCAUUUGAAAAUACAAUAAAAAAUACUUCUUGAGAAAAAAACAACUCCUUAUAUUGACAAACAAACUGGAAGAAUCACUCAGAAACCAUUGCAUAAAAAUAUAUUAAUUAUCCUCCAGAAUAUUGGCGAGAAAUAAUUUGGAGCGAUAAAACCAAGUUCGAUGGAAUAGGUUCAGAUGGUAAACAAUUUGUUUGUGUUCGUCCAAUUAAAAGUGUGGACCCUAGAUACACCAGAAAAACAUUGAAACAUGGUGGAGGAAACAAUAUGGUUUGGGGUUCCUUUUCUUGGCAUGGGAUAGUCCCAUUAUAGAAAAUUAUUCGUAACAUCGACGUUUCAUGUAUGGAUACCUCGUGGGAGUUGUAUUAGAACCAUUUGCCAGCAAAAUAUUAACAAUACUUUUAAGUUAUGUAUAAAUUAUUUAAUAAAUAUAUAUUCUUUUAAA
Molecule: long non-coding RNA, 694 nt
Organism: Aethina tumida (small hive beetle)
Lineage: Eukaryota; Metazoa; Arthropoda; Insecta; Coleoptera; Nitidulidae
Exons: 3
Source: RefSeq, a predicted model, not a curated record